AGAGGAUCAUCAACUCAGGAAGUUUCAACUAAAAUCACAGGAGGUUACUUAUUACUUGGCCUUUAGGUUGUACUCUAAAAAUGUCUGUGUCUGUGUGUAGGUGGUUCAUAUCAUGCACGAUAGUCUAGUCAAAGUGCCGAAGCCUGACAAAGAUUUGCCUGAAGUUGAAGAUCAGCCGGAUGAACUGCAGGCUGAAGAUUUGCUGGUUGAACCCAGCGCUGAAAAACAAAAGUUGGCGGACUGGUGGAAGAACAUAAAGGUACCUGAGAAGUUGAAGAACAUGAAGUCACUGGAUCAGUGGGAUAACAUGAAGAUUUGGCCCAACCUGAUAUAUGCUAUAUUGGUUAUUGUCAUCCUUGUCCUGAGUGAGUAUCAAUCUUCUGACUGGCAAAAUGUACCUAUUUAAUUUGAGUUGCGUCUCCUUCAAUUACAGUUUGGAUUCUAUAAAGCAGCAGGGAUGGGGAGUGAGGAAAACGAAGAAACAAACACCAUGAACGGUUGAAGUCAGAAGUGAGAUCCUUAACAACGGGAUUAUAUAAUCACAAAACAGUUGGACGGUGCUUGUUGGAUCGCGAUACCUUUCAAGUGUAGCUGCCGAUCCGCGUGUUCUUUGAAUGAAGACUUCGAGAAGAAAUGUACCAAUUUCAAAAUGUAUUUAACAAUAGAACCAAUUCCAGACACAAAUAUUACAGAGCUCCGGGCCAGUUCAUAACCCUAGCAACAACAGAGUCAAUUGUCAGGGCAUGAAGUCUGACAACCUAACUAUCCCUUGGCCCAGUCCUUUAUAGUCACACACAUCUUAAGGAGCAGGAGGACCGGGGCUCCUCGAAUUCCACGGCUGAAUUAAAUUGGUAAGACGUAUUUAUCCUAAUAUUUGGAAUGAAUUACUGCGUAGGAUAGAUGCUAACCUUACUCUGCUAACCAGCGGCUGCCACUAAACAGCCUAAAUAAACACGAAAUCCUGUGAGCCCUUUGAAACGAGACCAGGUUACAAAUAUAAGUAAACAUCAAAGGAAUUCCUGUGAAUUUAUUAAAAUAAGACCAGGUUACGAAACAAAUUCCUGUGAGAUCAUUGAGGCAAGACUAGGUUACAAAACGAAUUAAACACCAAAGUAAUCCCUGAAGGCGCACGGACCCUGAGGGUAGGACGACCCUGCUGGGGAUCCUACCCCAGGCUCUGACAUCUUCACCCACAUUCGAUCCCACUUAAAACACAUCCAUUUAGCCUGGACCUUCCCUCAUGGACUUUCACAUUAUUCAAUUGUAUUUGUACAUUUCAAAUUUGCCAUCUGUCUUCAAGGUGCUUUUUGCAGGGAGAUGCUGGAGGAUGUCCUACCUACCUUUGGGCAAGAGGUAGAGUAUACACUGGAUUAGUCACCAGUUGUUAGGCACUGCAGACACGAAUCAAGACCCCCAAAUGCAGACACACAUGACUGGGUGAGGUUGGGAUUAAGAUUUACUGAAGGUUGGUUCAGCGCAACCAGGUGGUGCUGUAAGCAGUAGUGAUGGGGAAAUGAUACCGAGGCUUCGGAGCUUGUGUCACUCUUCUUGAAGCGGAGUGAUUCAAAACGCUGUGUCGGAGCUUGUAUCAAAACACCAGUGCCAUGUGACCGAUGACAUUCGAAGCUUCGAACGUCGAAGGAAGCCUCGAAAUGUCGAAGGAAACUUCGAACGUCGAAGCUUCAAACGUCAUCGCUGUUUCGCUUCGCGCUUCAUUGCUUCAAAAUGUUUCGAAGCCUUUCAAUGGCUCAGCCUUUCAGUGUGUGUCAGUGGCUCAUGGCGUUUCAAUGCAUUCUGAGACAGAUUUGAGUGGUUUGAUGGAAUACCAGCUAUAUCAGAUGCAUUAUUAUGCUUCAAAAUUGUUGGGUUGUGAGGAGAUAGAGAUUUAGAGAAUUAGAGUAUUUUGGCGAGUACCACCAAUAAGCAACGUUCUAAAGUUUGGGAUCAUUUUGAUCUCAUGGCACCAAAUAAGGUAUAAUGCAGUUCAUAGCAUACAUUUUAUGUUUCCAUAAUUUAAUUGUAUUUUUAAUUUUUGAAUGGGUCUCAAAAUUACAAUUGCUUGUCGGUGCGGUGCUUGCAAUGCACACAAGAGUUGUUUUACAGCAACAACACAUCAUCUAUGCUGAGACACUUGCGUGCUAGGCAUGACUGCAACAGUAGAAAAAAUGAUAUUUCUCAAUAAAAACCUGUGAGGACAA
Long non-coding RNA from Takifugu rubripes (torafugu), 2198 nucleotides. The record is from Ensembl. Lineage: Eukaryota; Metazoa; Chordata; Actinopteri; Tetraodontiformes; Tetraodontidae.